GAUGGACCCGCGGUGCAUUAGCUAGUUGGUGAGGUAACGGCUCACCAAGGCAGCGAUGCAUAGCCGACCUGAGAGGGUGAUCGGCCACAUUGGGACUGAGACACGGCCCAAACUCCUACGGGAGGCAGCAGUAGGGAAUCUUCGGCAAUGGACGAAAGUCUGACCGAGCAACGCCGCGUGAGUGAAGAAGGUUUUCGGAUCGUAAAACUCUGUUGUUAGAGAAGAACAAGGAUGAGAGUAAAAUGUUCAUCCCUUGACGGUAUCUAACCAGAAAGCCACGGCUAACUACGUGCCAGCAGCCGCGGUAAUACGUAGGUGGCAAGCGUUGUCCGGAUUUAUUGGGCGUAAAGCGAGCGCAGGCGGUUUCUUAAGUCUGAUGUGAAAGCCCCCGGCUCAACCGGGGAGGGUCAUUGGAAACUGGGAAACUUGAGUGCAGAAGAGGAGAGUGGAAUUCCAUGUGUAGCGGUGAAAUGCGUAGAUAUAUGGAGGAACACCAGUGGCGAAGGCGGCUCUCUGGUCUGUAACUGACGCUGAGGCUCGAAAGCGUGGGGAGCAAACAGGAUUAGAU
RNAcentral lists this ribosomal RNA (568 nucleotides) under uncultured bacterium. RNAcentral's name for it is "bacterial SSU rRNA". It matches the Rfam family "Bacterial small subunit ribosomal RNA", at positions 224 to 783 of the family's 1533-position model. The record is from RNAcentral.